This 142-nucleotide small nucleolar RNA is filed under the name [Torrubiella] hemipterigena. Its description in RNAcentral is "Torrubiella hemipterigena Small nucleolar RNA snR80". It matches the Rfam family "Small nucleolar RNA snR80". The record is from Rfam by way of RNAcentral. Lineage: Eukaryota; Fungi; Ascomycota; Sordariomycetes; Hypocreales; Clavicipitaceae.
AAGCCCUCGGCCCACUCUGAGCUAUACCAAUUCUCUCCCAUGGUAUAUUUCUAUUUUUGUUCGAGGAAGAUUGACUGGACGAUUACUCACCGAUGCUUCCUUUACACCGUGGAAGUAUUGGUCCAUAUUUACAGCCCUACAC